GAUGAACGCUGGCGGCGUGCCUAAUACAUGCAAGUCGAGCGAACGGACGAGAAGCUUGCUUCUCUGAUGUUAGCGGCGGACGGGUGAGUAACACGUGGAUAACCUACCUAUAAGACUGGGAUAACUUCGUGAAACCGGAGCUACUACCGGAUAAUAUUUUGAACCGCAUGGUUCAAAAGUGAAAGACGGUCUUGCUGUCACUUAUAGAUGGAUCCGCGCUGCAUUAGCUAGUUGGUAAGGUAACGGCUUACCAAGGCAACGAUGCAUAGCCGACCUGAGAGGGUGAUCGGCCAAACUGGAACUGAGACACGGUCCAGACUCCUACGGGAGGCAGCAGUAGGGAAUCUUCCGCAAUGGGCGAAAGCCUGACGGAGCAACGCCGCGUGAGUGAUGAAGGUCUUCGGAUCGUAAAACUCUGUUAUUAGGGAAGAACAUAUGUGUAAGUAACUGUGCACAUCUUGACGGUACCUAAUCAGAAAGCCACGGCUAACUACGUG
Molecule: ribosomal RNA, 497 nt
Filed under: uncultured bacterium
Lineage: Bacteria
Description: partial 16S ribosomal RNA
Rfam family: Bacterial small subunit ribosomal RNA
Source: RNAcentral